GACGAACGCUGGCGGCGUGCUUAACACAUGCAAGUCGAACGGUAAGGCCCUUCGGGGUACACGAGUGGCGAACGGGUGAGUAACACGUGGGUGAUCUGCCCUGCACUUCGGGAUAAGCCUGGGAAACUGGGUCUAAUUCCGGAUAGGACCACUGCCUGCAUGGGUGGUGGUGGAAAGCUUUUGCGGUGUGGGAUGGGCCCGCGGCCUAUCAGCUUGUUGGUGGGGUGAUGGCAUACCAAGGCGACGACGGGUAGCCGGCCUGGGAGGGUGAGCGGCCAAACUGGGACUGAGAUACAGGCCAGACUCCUACGGGAGGCAGCAGUGGGGCAUAUUGCACAAUGGGCGCAAGCCUGAUGCAGCGCCGCCGCGUGAGGGAUGACGGCCUUCGGGUUGUAAACCUCUUUCAGCACCGACGAAGCGCAAGUGACGGUAGGUGCAGAAGAAGGACCGGCCAACUACGUGCCAGCCGCCGCCGUAA
This 478-nucleotide ribosomal RNA is filed under the name uncultured bacterium. RNAcentral describes it as "partial 16S ribosomal RNA". It matches the Rfam family "Bacterial small subunit ribosomal RNA", at positions 28 to 523 of the family's 1533-position model. The record is from RNAcentral.